This 209-nucleotide non-coding RNA is filed under the name Eubacterium sp. Its description in RNAcentral is "6S RNA". It matches the Rfam family "6S / SsrS RNA". From Rfam's summary of the family: E. coli 6S RNA was the first non coding RNA to be sequenced, but its function was unknown until recently. The record is from RNAcentral. Lineage: Bacteria; Bacillati; Bacillota; Clostridia; Eubacteriales; Eubacteriaceae.
GACUUCCUGAGAUGUUCGAUACUCUUGAAUUUUUGAACCUACAAUACUUUAAACGGGAUUCCUAUAUUUGUGAUUGGAUGCCAGGCCGUCACUGCCGAACUUGUUCGGUACAAUGGAGACAUUGCAACGGAAGGCAGAAGACCACGUGCGGUUGCCCACCUAGCAUAUGCUAGGAGUCAAAAAUCAAGAACCGGCAUUUUGGGGGUUUU